Xenia sp. Carnegie-2017 is the source of this 328-nucleotide long non-coding RNA. RefSeq lists it as uncharacterized. The record is from RefSeq and is a predicted model, not a curated record. NCBI's taxonomy places the organism in Eukaryota, Metazoa, Cnidaria, Anthozoa, Malacalcyonacea, Xeniidae. The transcript is spliced from 4 exons.
AGAAACGAAAAUUUGAGUGUUAACCUUUACCCCGAAGAAGUUAUAGAUAUAAAAGAAGAAUGUGGUUAAAAGGACGUGUUGAAGGCAGCCGAGUCAUUUGGUCGCUGAGUUGGAGUCGAUCGGAAGAUUGUCUUGAAAGUUGGUUGAUGGUAGAGCUUGAAUACCGCGAGGAAGAAGCAUUGGCCUUUUGAAGAGUCGUUGUAAAUGUUGGGAAUGAGAAUUGGAUUAUCGGAAUAUCGUUCUUUCGCCCAAGAAACGCGAAGAAAAUACAUCGUAGCAGAUAAGGAUUUAAUAGGUCUUCAAUCAACUUCAAGAUGUUAGAAGUCAA